Molecule: ribosomal RNA, 246 nt
Filed under: uncultured Micrococcus sp.
Lineage: Bacteria; Bacillati; Actinomycetota; Actinomycetes; Micrococcales; Micrococcaceae
Description: partial 16S ribosomal RNA
Rfam family: Bacterial small subunit ribosomal RNA
Source: RNAcentral
UCCAGGCGNGACGGGUGCCGGCCUGAGAGGGUGACCGGCCACACUGGGACUGAGACACGGCCCAGACUCCUACGGGAGGCAGCAGUGGGGAAUAUUGCACAAUGGGCGAAGCCUGAUGCAGCGACGCCGCGUGAGGGAUGACGGCCUUCGGGUUGUAAACCUCUUUCAGUAGGGAAGAAGCGAAAGUGACGGUACCUGCAGAAGAAGCACCGGCUAACUACGUGCCAGCAGCGACCGGUAAUACAA